UCACAGCAUAACUACUUAGACGAAUAAUAAAAACAACUGUUUAAAAUUCAAAAACUUUGGCGGUACUUUAUAUAAUUAGGGGAACCUGCUACUUAAUACGAUAACCCACGACAUAUAACCCAUUUUUAGUAUAUCAGUCUGUGUACUGCUGUCAUAAAUAAACCUAUAAAAGUAAGUUUAUAUAAAUAAUAAAAUUUAUACAUGUCAAGUCAAAGUGCAGCUUAUAAAAUGGGGUAAGUGGGUUACAAUCUCUAUACAGAAAUGAAUAAUAGAAUCUAUACCUAUUUGAAAGUGGACUUAACAGUAAUGAUCUUAACCUCAUAAACCAUUUCCUAAAGUAUGCACACAUCGCCCGUCACUCUUGUCCAAAGACC
This 374-nucleotide ribosomal RNA is filed under the name Achaeta aberrans. RNAcentral describes it as "partial 12S ribosomal RNA". The record is from RNAcentral. Lineage: Eukaryota; Metazoa; Annelida; Clitellata; Enchytraeida; Enchytraeidae.